Molecule: ribosomal RNA, 447 nt
Filed under: uncultured bacterium
Lineage: Bacteria
Description: partial 16S ribosomal RNA
Rfam family: Bacterial small subunit ribosomal RNA
Source: RNAcentral
AGCGAACGCUGGCGGCAGGCUUAACACAUGCAAGUCGAGCGCCCCGCAAGGGGAGCGGCAGACGGGUGAGUAACACGUGGGAACGUGCCUUUUGGUUCGGAACAACCCAGGGAAACUUGGGCUAAUACCGGAUAAGCCCUUACGGGGAAAGAUUUAUCGCCAAAAGAUCGGCCCGCGUCUGAUUAGCUAGUUGGUGGGGUAAUGGCCCACCAAGGCUACGAUCAGUAGCUGGUCUGAGAGGAUGAUCAGCCACAUUGGGACUGAGACACGGCCCAAACUCCUACGGGAGGCAGCAGUGGGGAAUCUUGGACAAUGGGCGCAAGCCUGAUCCAGCCAUGCCGCGUGAGUGAUAAAGGCCUUAGGGUUGUAAAGCUCUUUCAGUGGGGAAGAUAAUGACGGUACCCACAGAAGAAGCCCCGGCUAACUUCGUGCCAGCCGCCGCAGUAA